UGGGACUUGACAAUGAGGGAAACAAAUCCUUGUUUUUACUUAACCAUUUUGUAUAGUAGUAGAAAACAAGGAUUUUCUGCUUGUAAAGUUAGUUUAAAUGACUAACCUCCUGUCAAAUGAAAAUAGCCAAUUUUUAUUCAAGUAAAUUUUUUUAAGUCACUUGAUUGGAAGACCCAAAAACCUUUUAUAUGUUCAUGUUUCCUAAU
RNAcentral lists this long non-coding RNA (206 nucleotides) under Nicotiana benthamiana. Its description in RNAcentral is "long non-coding RNA (NBEN_LNC000219)". The record is from RNAcentral. Lineage: Eukaryota; Viridiplantae; Streptophyta; Magnoliopsida; Solanales; Solanaceae.